AAGGCUACAGAAGCUAUCCCAUCU
This 24-nucleotide non-coding RNA is filed under the name Arabidopsis thaliana (thale cress). Lineage: Eukaryota; Viridiplantae; Streptophyta; Magnoliopsida; Brassicales; Brassicaceae. The record is from RNAcentral.